GCUUAAAUCAUUCUAUGAUUGUUUACAAUUCUCUCAUCUAUUUUACAUGAGGGCUAGAGGGUGGUCUUGGAGCAAGAAAAGUGUUGAGUCCGGGCGCAUUAUGGUACAACUCAGACCGAGUUGGUAAGGAGCAAGCGGUUGGAUUGGCCUGACUCUUCAAGACCAAAGAUACUCAGCUUCCUCUUCAUCAAGUCACGAAAUUCAACCCUU
Molecule: long non-coding RNA, 210 nt
Filed under: Hordeum vulgare
Lineage: Eukaryota; Viridiplantae; Streptophyta; Magnoliopsida; Poales; Poaceae
Description: long non-coding RNA (HVUL_LNC015710)
Source: RNAcentral